This is a non-coding RNA of Halocaridina rubra (Hawaiian volcano shrimp), 73 nucleotides long. The record is from the annotation of a GenBank genome assembly. NCBI's taxonomy places the organism in Eukaryota, Metazoa, Arthropoda, Malacostraca, Decapoda, Atyidae.
ACCUUCGGUGGUGUAGUUGGUAGCACCAAGGUACAGUAAUUAUGUGUCCUAGGUUCAAGUCCCGGUCGGGGUA